Salvia miltiorrhiza (redroot sage) is the source of this 1237-nucleotide long non-coding RNA. RefSeq lists it as uncharacterized. The transcript has 3 exons. The record is from RefSeq and is a predicted model, not a curated record. NCBI's taxonomy places the organism in Eukaryota, Viridiplantae, Streptophyta, Magnoliopsida, Lamiales, Lamiaceae.
UAAGUUCAGCCCACAAUUAAACAAAAUAGUUUAGGCCCACAAAAAGAUAAAAUAAAGUAGCAGCCCAAAUUCUCGCCAACUCAGCAAAAAUAAAGCAGUUCGGACGUUCAGACGGUAUGGGCACACCGUCCAGCCUGCGCGUACAUCUUUCUUACUUCCCAAUUUUUCUCCUUCAUCUAAAUCUGUUCCUCUUCCUCAAAUCCUCUGGAGAAGGCGAAGAUGAAAAGCCCCAAUUUUUCUCCUUCAUCUAAAUCGUGCCCUAGCUCUUCCUCUGCCCAAAUCGUCGCCACCCUGCUGCAACUUCCGGCGGCAUCGCCGCCCUCCGUGGCUCUGAAACUCCGGCAAAGUCGACGCCGUGCACUGGAGCGUCUUUCUCUCUCAAUUCCCGUUCACAAUAGAGCUCGUCUGCUGGCGAAUGGAGCUCGCCCUUCUCUCUUUCUCGUCCGCCGCGAAUAGCUCCAGCGAGGCCGGCUGUCGCCGCCUCUGAAAUUAGCGACGCCAGCGCCGUCCCCUGCUCCACAUCUCACAUCCUCACUCACGCGCACCCGACGAAGGCAAGGGUCGUGCCCAGUCCUCCCAUCACAAAUCGGCGCGCAGCCACCGCCGUGCUCGUCGCAUCGCCACUCCUCCAUCUCAGGUAAGAAGAUAGGAGUCUCAGUUGAGGUGUGAGUAAGCCUCUGGUGUUCCUUCAACUUAAUUACAUUCCUUAUUUGAACAGUGAGCACGUGGAAUUGUGUGGUGAGUGUUUAUUAUUGGCUGUGUGUAAAGUUGCAAAGCUGGAAGCUUUUUGAAGUUUUUUCCACCAUUGCAACCAAAAUUCUUCACGUGUUAUCUCACAUUUUUCUGCCUAAAUAUUUGUGAAGUUUGAGUAUUCUGGUUGUAGUUGUUGCUAUUUGACAUGUUGUGGAAUCAUGGGCUGUGUUUUGAUUUUGUGAUUGCAGUUGUGGGCAUUUGUUUUGCAUAGUUUCUUAACCUGUGGGAUUCAGUAAAAAAAAUUGUGUAUUUGCUGAAGGUUGUUCCAAUGGAAAAUUUGAAUGGCCGCAAACUUGUUGAAGAUGGAGAGCUUUGUGAAAGAAGAAAUGGUGUCGCUUUAUUUGUUGCUAGGUUUCAUAUGAUGGAUAAUUUCAUGUUAGAAUAUUUUAUUGAGCUUGAUGUAAGAUGUUUGUAUGAUGGAUAAUAUUUCAAUGUAUGAUGAUAAAUAAUAUUUGAAAUUAAUGAUGAUUUUUUUUAUUAUUCA